GACGAACGCUGGCGGCGUGCCUAACACAUGCAAGUCGAACGGUCCGGCACUCAACCGACCCUCAGUCUAACUGUAGGUGAGGUUAAGUGCCGGAUAGUGGCGGACGGGUGAGUAACGCGUGGGCAACCAACCCUGUACAGUGGGAUAACACCGGGAAACCGGUGCUAAUACCGCAUGACACCUAGACAGUGCAUACUGACUAGGUUAAAGGAUUUAGCCGGUACAGGACGGGCCCGCGUCCCAUUAGCUAGUUGGUGAGGUAACGGCUCACCAAGGCGACGAUGGGUAGCCGACCUGAGAGGGUGACCGGCCACACUGGGACUGAGACACGGCCCAGACUCCUACGGGAGGCAGCAGUGGGGAAUAUUGCGCAAUGGAGGAAACUCUGACGCAGCGACGCCGCGUGAGCGAAGAAGGCCUCGGUCGUAAAGCUCUGUUCUUGGGUACGAAUAAGGUGACGGUACCCGAAGGAGAAAGACCCGGCACUACGUGCCAGCAGCCGCGGUAAAGUAGUGUGUA
RNAcentral lists this ribosomal RNA (519 nucleotides) under uncultured bacterium. Its description in RNAcentral is "bacterial SSU rRNA". It matches the Rfam family "Bacterial small subunit ribosomal RNA", at positions 28 to 536 of the family's 1533-position model. The record is from RNAcentral.